This 207-nucleotide ribosomal RNA is filed under the name uncultured bacterium. Its description in RNAcentral is "partial 16S ribosomal RNA". It matches the Rfam family "Bacterial small subunit ribosomal RNA", at positions 568 to 774 of the family's 1533-position model. The record is from RNAcentral.
UGCGUAGGCGGACAUGAAAGUGUUUUGUGAAAUCCCCCGGCUUAACCGGGGAAUUGCUUGGCAAACUACAUGUCUUGAGGCAAGUAGGGGUGUGUGGAACUCUUGGUGGAGCGGUGGAAUGCGUAGAUAUCAAGAGGAACGCCGAAGGUGAAGACAGCACACUGGACUUGUUCUGACGCUGAGGCACGAAAGCGUGGGGAGCAAACA